AACGAACGCUGGCGGCAUGCCUAACACAUGCAAGUCGAACGAAGUCUUCGGACUUAGUGGCGCACGGGUGCGUAACGCGUGGGAAUCUGCCCUUGGGUACGGAAUAACUCAGAGAAAUUUGUGCUAAUACCGUAUAAUGUCUUCGGACCAAAGAUUUAUCGCCCAAGGAUGAGCCCGCGUAAGAUUAGCUAGUUGGUGGGGUAAAAGCCUACCAAGGCGACGAUCUUUAGCUGGUCUGAGAGGAUGAUCAGCCACACUGGGACUGAGACACGGCCCAGACUCCUACGGGAGGCAGCAGUGGGGAAUAUUGGACAAUGGGCGAAAGCCUGAUCCAGCAAUGCCGCGUGAGUGAUGAAGGCCCUAGGGUUGUAAAGCUCUUUUACCAGGGAUGAAAAUGACAGUACCUGGAGAAUAAGCGCCGGCUAACUCCGUG
This 433-nucleotide ribosomal RNA is filed under the name uncultured bacterium. RNAcentral describes it as "partial 16S ribosomal RNA". It matches the Rfam family "Bacterial small subunit ribosomal RNA", at positions 29 to 507 of the family's 1533-position model. The record is from RNAcentral.